CGUCCGGUCGCUUGCUUGGGCACUAGGGCAUUUCUCUCGCGUAGACGCCGUUUGUCACUUUGCUCGCAAAUUCGGGGGGAAAUCUGUUCCCCUUUUCACUGGCAUUUACAGCGCUCGAGCUCGCUCGAGAAGCACCGAUUCUCUGGCGUUCUUGCUUCGCUUCGGAUUCCUCCGCCUGCCUCGAUCAUUUCCCCCUUGGAAGGGUGCACCGAGUCAGGCUACAAGGUUUUUUGUCUGAAAAUCGAGUUCGACGGCUUCCUUCUUGCGAGCUGGACGGUGGGAUGAAUAUGUCUUUCUCAGUGCAUUUCUUUUCUUGAGUUUGCAGCCAUACUUGCCAUACUUGAUGAUGCCUUUUUCGUUUGGUUUAAGGGAAAGUAUCUUAAGGAAUCUUUGGAUUUUCAUUUAUCAUUGUAAACAUUAUGUCCGCUUAAUUUGCUAAAAAGAGAACGAUCGAUUGAGAAAGGUAAUGCAGUUUUGAAUGAGCUGAGCUAGGUGGCAGAAGAGAGUAUCAGUCUAUUUGGUGGGGAGAUCAUUCUACAUAAAAUUAGGCAGAUUAUGAAAAUCUGACUGUAGGUUGAUUACCUCAGUUAACAUGGGGUUUGACAACGAAUGCAUUUUGAACAUCCAAUCUCUAGCUGGAGAGUACUUCUGCCCUGUUUGUCGUUUGCUUGUAUACCCAAAUGAAGCUCUGCAGUCACAGUGUACUCACCUGUACUGUAAACCAUGUCUGGCAUACAUCGCCAGCAGUACUAAAGCUUGUCCUUAUGAUGGCUAUCUGGUUACUGAGGCAGAUUCAAAGCUGCUCAUAGAUUCAAAUAAAGCAUUGGCUGAGACUAUCAGCAAAAUACCAGUGCAUUGUCUCUAUCACAGGAGUGGAUGCACAUGGCAAGGUCCACUUUCUGAGUGUGUCACUCAUUGUGCUGGAUGUGCUUUUGGCAAUUCUCCUGUUGUGUGCAACAGGUGUGGAAUUCAGAUUGUGCAUCGUCAAGUCCAGGAACAUGCACAGAGUUGCCCUGGUGUGCAUCCUCAAGUGCAGCCAGCAGAGGGUUCUCAAGAGGCUCCUGGUACAAAUACUACUACUGCUGGCCAGGGCCAGAGUACUAAUCAGGCUGGGACCGCAAGUUCUCAGGCUUCUGAGGCUCAGACUUCUCAAACUGCUACACCUGCAACAUCAGCACAACAGGUCCAAAGUGUCGAUCAGGCUGCUAUUCUGACUCCAGAGCAAUGGUAUCAGCACCAACAGCAACAUUAUAAUCAGUAUUAUCAACAGUAUAUCGGAUUUGAUCCAUAUCAACAGCAGUAUCAGCAGUACUAUCCAUAUCAGCAGCCGGCCAUCCUGCAACCCCAGCCGUAUGCCCAGCCCCCGGCCCAGCCCCAGCCCCCACCCCAGCCCCAGUCCCAAUCCCAACCACAGGCCCUGCCCCAACCGCAGGUCCAGCCCCAGCCCCAACCCCUACCUCAGCCUCAUACACAGCCCAAGGGUCAGCCUCAGGCCCAAACUCAAGUCCAGCCUCAGGUCUAUGGACAGCUGCAGCUGCAACUGCAACCACAUGCCCAAUCUGCUGCAGUUGCCCAAUCUCAGAAUCCGCAGCAGCAACUUCAACCAAACAUGCCAUUGCAAUCACAAGUUCAGGCUCAGGUUCAGCCAUCUCAGGCUUUGCUGUAUCCUCAAUCCCAAUCCCAACCACAACCCCAAUACCCCAUUCUAUCUCAUUCACAGCCACAUGCGCAGGUGCCUCAGCAUCAGCAACCGCAAGUGCAGGCACAGUAUCCCCAUCCACAGACUCAACCUCAGGCGCCUCCCCAGCUCCAGCUUCAACAUAGACCUGUUGCUCAAGUUCAACAGCAUUUACCAACUCAACCUGGGUCACUGGUUCCACCUCCUUCCCAGGCUCACCCCCAUCCUCAGGUAAUUCAGGGGCAGUCUCAAACACAGCAUCCAUCGGUUCAGGCGGUAACUGGUUAUCAGUCUUAUCCACAAACUCAGCCUCUACCACAAGCUCCCCAGCAGCACAUCAUGAAUGUUCGUCCUCACCAACAGGCUCAGCAGUUUAAUCAAAUGCAGGGUCAGUUUCCUCAACCUUCUCCCCAUAUGAAUCCAGCUCCUCAAGUUGCAGCUCCAAACCAACAGCAACAACCAGCUCUGUUGCCUUCACCUGCUCAAAACUUGAGCAUUCCUCCUGGUCAGCAGCAGCAGGGCAUUUACUCCCAUACUCAACAACCAGGACAUCCAGUCCCACAGCGAGCAGUCAUCCCACCGUUUCAACCGCUGAUGCCUCAACAAUAUCCAACUCAGCAGCCUUCUUCUGGAGGACAACCUGGAUCCGCACAUCAAGGUACUUUUGUUCAGCAGCAGCAGGUGCAGUCGCACUUGCGCCCUCAUGGUCCUCUUCAUUCAUUUCAACCACAGUUCCCAACCCAUCCGCAGCCACAGCAGAGUGUUGGGAGGCCAACCUUUCCAAAUCAGGGGAUCCCAUCACAAUUCUAUCCUCAGUCGGGUGUUCCAGACCAGGUUAAGUCAACACAGGCUGGUUUCAACCACAAUAACUUGGUUAGUACCCAUAAUCAAGUGCAAUUCUCUUUGGAGCAACAGCCUGGGGCAAGUGUGAGCGAGCAGCGACCUGAUCUACUGCCUCGGACGGGUGGUAAAAAGGAUGUAGUGUCAUCUUCUGGAACUGAUUCUAGUGAGAUGAAGAUGGUGAGAUCUGAAACUGAGGCAAAGCAUCUGGAUAAUGAUCACAAGGCUAUAGGGGAACCUGGUGAGUCUAACUAUGCAGAUACAUCCACUCAUGAGAUUCUAUCUGAAGCGCCAGCAUCAAAUGAUGCAGAGCAUUCUGUAAAGCGGAAGGUGAAGGGAGAAACCACAGAAAAUAUGAUGGAGCCUUCCCAUGGAAAAGGUGCGAUUUUUGUGGGAGAUCAGAAAGACGGUUCUGGUAUUGGCUUCAUAUCAGGGGAGAAUGUGGCACGAGAAGAAAAGGGAAAUGUGGAUAGCUCAUCAAGGAGAAAUUCUCUGGUGCAAGAAACUGGUUUGCAGAAGAACUCCAACUUGGUGCUACAACGUUCCGGCAGCGAUGGAAAAAUUGUACCACAGUCUGGUCUGCAAGACAGAAACUUGCCUCAGCCUCAUGUUACUGCUUUUGCUCAUGGGCAUGAUGGUCCUCGAGGUUUCCCUCCUCCUGGAAAUGUUCAGACUGGCGGUAGUUUGCAGUCUUCUCAUCCAAAUCAGGUUGUUGAUCAACGUAGGCAUCAAGCUCCACUGCCCCCUCAUGGAUCAUCCUUUCAACAUAGGCCUUCUGCACCUCCGAUGUUGCAACAGCCUCCACUUGGACCUCCACAACACCCACCAAUGCCAGGGCACUCUGUAUCUCAUCAUGGCCCUCCCAGCUUUGGUAAUUUACCGCCUGGUCAAGGCCCUAUAGCAUCCUUUGGAAGAGGUCAAGGGCAAUUUGGCGCCCAGUCAGUUCUUCCACAAGGUAUUUAUAAUCAAGGCCCUCCUGGCUUUGGACCUGCAGGUGGAAUAGCUCAUAAGCAACCUAACAAUUUACUUGAGGCUGAAAACUAUCCAAACCAGAGGCCUGUCUUCAUGGAUGGUAGACAAACUGACAGUAAUCUUCCGAGGAACAUGGAACGUGUAUUUGGACAUCCUUCAGAAAUCCAAUCAAACUUGUCGAGAAUGGGCCAUCCUUCUGGAUUUGACUCUGCAUUGAAGUCCUUGCCUGAUGAACGGUUCAAUCCCCCAUCUAUGGAUCCAUCUCGUCGUGGUUUUGACCGUGGACCUUUUGAAGAAGAUACUAGGGGAUUUCGUGGACCAUAUCAUCCGGAUGCUGAGGCUGUGCAAAAAUAUGGGGGGCGCUUUUCCUCUGGAAGUCCUUUUAAUAAAGAUCCUCUUGACAAAGAAUUUCAUGGAUUUAAUCCUGACAAUGCACCGAAGUAUGCAGCUGCCUCAUCAAGGAACUUCCAAUCAUAUGAUCGUACUGGUGUACUUGGUGAAAGAGCAUUAGGUCAUCCUGAAGAUAACCCUGGGAGAUUAGGUUCUUCUUUUGGUCGUGAAGUUUAUGAAUCACUGCCAAGUUACAGUCAACGUCAUAAGGAUGGUUUGACCCAUCGAAGCCCCGGUGGAGAAUAUUCUGGCAUCCCUUCACGUGGAUUUGAAGGCCUUCCAGGUGUCCAACGAAAUCCUCCUGAUGACAAUGGUAGAAGGGAGCCACGUUUAUAUGGUGCUGGCAGUUCAUUCCCGGAAGGUAGGUUUCCAGCUUUGCCAAACCAGUUUCAUAAGAGUCAGUUUGAGGACACAAGGAAUCUAAGGAUGGGCGAGCAUUUGAGGAAUGGCGGUCUGGGUGGUGAUGAUUUUAUACGCAAAGGCGAUACUUUUGGCUCUCAUGACCUGCCUAUGCAAAUGCGGAUGGGUGAGCCUGGUGGUUUGGGCACCUUCCACAGCCAUACUCGUGUAGGAGAACCAGUUGGGCUUGAGUCAAUUCGAGGCAGCAGGUUUGGUCAUCCAAGAUUUGGUGAGACUGGAUUCAGAAGCAGCUUUCCCCUCCAAGGACACCCUAAUGAUGGAAAGUAUACAGGUGACUUGGAGUCUUUUGAAAACUCAAGAAAGAGAAAGGCAGCAAGUAUGGGCUGGUGUCGGAUUUGUAAAGUGGAUUGUGAAACAGUUGAAGGUCUGGACCUGCAUUCACAAACAAGGGAGCACCAGAAAAUAGCUAUGGACAUGGUUCGAAGCAUUAAGCAGCAGAAUGCCAAGAAACAGAAAAUAAGUUCCAGUGAUCGAUCCUCAGUCGACGAUUCAAGCAAGUUGAAGAAUGCCAAUAUUGAGGGUCAAGAAAACAAGCAUAAAAAAGAACAUCCAAUUCAGGGGACUAAUUUCAGCUGAAGAUGCUAGCAAGAUGAAAAAUGCUGGUUUUGAGGAUGGAGAGAACAAGCAUUAAAUUUGGCUGUGCGCUGCACUGUUGAUUGCCAUGACCUGUUUUUCUUGGUAUCUAUGACUUAGAAAUCUAGUUUUCUUUCUAUGGGCUAUUGUGGACUUGAAAUUCUGCUUCUUCCUUGUGUUUUUGACCAGGUUCGUGUUUCCCCUGAAUUUUGCAAGAACAUUCUGAUUAUUCUUUUUUAUAUCAAAUCUAUAUUUGCACUAGCCAUUUCUUUUUAUCAUCUAAGUGUUUUGAUAUCGCUAUAAACAAAUAAAUUUUCUUGCUGAGUGCUAACAGCUCACCAAAUGGCAUGCUUAGUCCAUCCAGUAAGAGAGUGUCUUGUGAUUGAUAAGAACCAUGUUAGCUCAUAGAUUUGGUUGUCAUAUCAUUUUUGUACUGGACUGGAGGGCUCCUGAGUUUUCUUCAUCUUGAUGAUUAUUCUACCAAUUAGUAGUUUAGAGGGCUAUUAGGUGAGAGUUGGAUUUGUUAUUAAGCUAGGGGCGCACUUUUAUGUGAUAGUUUAAUCAUAGUGGUGGUACGCUUUAGAACUUUAGUGGACUUGGCCAAAUAUGUGAAAUUAUUUCCCGUGGUUUUUGUUGUUCAGAUGUCUUUAUGGUCGUUCUCAGUAAAUUUAAUUACCUUUUUAACUACUACUUGUAUUGGCAUUGUUGUUUUGCGCUGAGGAUGCAAUACCUGCAGCCAUGUGUUAAGUGCUUAUUUUUCUUGCUUUGGAAGAGUUGGUGCCAUACACAAUCUGGUGAUUUCUGGUUUGAUUAGAACUGAAUGCUUUUAGAAAUUCUGGGUCCAUUCUGAGGGACAAUCAAGGAAAUUUUGGGGCUAGAAUGCAACCGGCUAGGAAGUUGGAGGCACAUGUCUGGCGCACCUAUUAGUUCUUCGGACUUAUUGGACUUUUAUCGAGGGAAACUUGUCAAGGACCACUUUGUUAUCUUGAGGUCUUUCUUUUGUUUACUGUAGUUCAAUUUGUAUUUGACCUUGGUAUGCAUGUAUAGAUUUUUUAUUUGAUAUCCUUUUGCCUGAGCAUUUCCUUGUGUGAAAAACUGUGGCUCUAGUUGAGGUGCGACUCAACUUUAAGCAAUCCCGCCACCCUUUUUGAUUUUUGUGAGCAAGAAUAGGAAGAUCAUGGACUAAAUUGAGGACUUAAACGCAGGUAUCAGAAUGUAGUUUUUUGUGGGUUCGGUAUUAUUGUAGAGUAUAAAAGGAUAUCACUAAUAUGCAGUGGACUCGAUCUAUCUCCAUUUGACAGCCUUAGAUAAGCCAUCUAGUCAUCGUAUAUAUGUAUAUUAGACAUGGAGGAAUGAUUUGGCUGUGGAGGGAGAGUGCCAGUCAUACUGCUUUCGGUUUCCUAAGGCAUUGCUAAGGCACAGAGUGUGCAAAGUUUGGAUUUUCCUUAUCGUGUCUUGAUUUUGGUUGAAUCUUCCUCUUUUGGAUGGUAUUUCCUCACAAGAAGUUUUGGGCCCUUUCACGUGGAUGGAUUGGAAAGUAGUCCGAAAUACGAAGAAAAUUCACACCAAAGGAUCUGACGUCUUUACAUUGCUUGCAUUUCUCAAUUAUCCUGACCCAUGCUAAAAGAGACGCCUGAAUUUCCUUUGUAGGUAGCUUAUUUAACGUGAACAUUAUGCUCUCUUCUGUUUUCCCUAGCUGAUGCGAUCGUAAAGGUUUUCUACUUUUUCAAGGAAUGCUUCUAAAAUUUCGAUGUUGAGCGAAAGCUUUUUACACCCUUUACUGUCUGUUAGGUUGGUUUUUCACUCUUGGAUAAUGAUCCCCUUUUCGGUUUUGCAUUAAUUCUCUUUUUCUUUUGUUGAUUGUCCUUUUCAUUACUUUGGGUGUCAUGUUGUGAAAUAGAUUCUGUCUUUACCCUUUCUAUUGAGCUUGAGAUGUUCUGAGGUUUCCAUCCUGUGGCGAUCUGCGCGUGACCCAAAGCCAGUCUCCACUGCCAAGGUGGGAGCAAGGAAAAGAAGAUGAUGAGCACCGACAGCGCGAUGAAGGAAAGGAGGACAAGGAAGAAAGAAUGUGAAUUAAGGGAAUAGUGUUACUUUCACUGUUGGGAAUAGUGUUAAUUUCACUGUUAAAUCGUUCCAUUGUUGAGCCCUAUGAGCAUGAUAGACUGGACAUGCCAAGGAAUAUUAAAAUGUCGAAUGCUUCGAGUUCGAUACCAGUGUGAAGUGCUCAAUGCUUUUUGUACCA
Molecule: RNA transcript, 7115 nt
Organism: Syzygium oleosum
Lineage: Eukaryota; Viridiplantae; Streptophyta; Magnoliopsida; Myrtales; Myrtaceae
Exons: 10
Source: RefSeq, a predicted model, not a curated record